UACGUAGGGUGCAAGCGUUGUCCGGAUUUAUUGGGCGUAAAGAGCGUGUAGGCGGCCAGGUAGGUCUGCUGUGAAAACUCGAGGCUCAACCUCGAGACGUCGGCGGAAACCAUCUGGCUAGAGUCCGGAAGAGGAGAGUGGAAUUCCUGGUGUAGCGGUGAAAUGCGCAGACAUCAGGAAGAACACCCGUGGCGAAGGCGGCUCUCUGGGACGGUACUGACGCUGAGACGCGAAAGCGUGGGGAGCGAACAGG
RNAcentral lists this ribosomal RNA (253 nucleotides) under uncultured bacterium. Its description in RNAcentral is "partial 16S ribosomal RNA". It matches the Rfam family "Bacterial small subunit ribosomal RNA", at positions 524 to 776 of the family's 1533-position model. The record is from RNAcentral.